RNAcentral lists this transfer RNA (72 nucleotides) under Camelus bactrianus (Bactrian camel). It matches the Rfam family "tRNA". Rfam says of the family: Transfer RNA (tRNA) molecules are approximately 80 nucleotides in length. RNAcentral also lists the same sequence under 2 other names. The record is from Rfam by way of RNAcentral. Lineage: Eukaryota; Metazoa; Chordata; Mammalia; Artiodactyla; Camelidae.
GUGGGUAUAGCUCAGUGGUAGAGUGUGUGCUUAGCAUGCACAGGGUCCUGGGUUCAAUACCCAGCACCUGCA